RNAcentral lists this ribosomal RNA (379 nucleotides) under uncultured cyanobacterium. RNAcentral describes it as "bacterial SSU rRNA". It matches the Rfam family "Bacterial small subunit ribosomal RNA", at positions 376 to 770 of the family's 1533-position model. The record is from RNAcentral. Lineage: Bacteria; Bacillati; Cyanobacteriota.
CGAAAGCCUGACGGAGCAACGCCGCGUGUGGGAAGAAGGCUCUUGGGCUGUCAACCACUUUUCUCAGGGAAGAAGAUCUGACGGUACCUGAGGAAUCAGCCUCGGCUAACUCCGUGCCAGCAGCCGCGGUAAUACGGAGGAGGCAAGCGUUAUCCGGAAUUAUUGGGCGUAAAGCGUCCGCAGGUGGCGAUUCAAGUCUGCUGUCAAAGCACGGGGCUUAACUCCGUUAAGGCAGUGGAAACUGAAUGGCUAGAGUGCCGUAGGGGUAGAGGGAAUUCCCGGUGUAGCGGUGAAAUGCGUAGAGAUCGGGAAGAACAUCGGUGGCGAAAGCGCUCUACUGGGUCGCACCUGACCCUCAGGGACGAAAGCUAAGGGAGCG